Molecule: long non-coding RNA, 1982 nt
Organism: Gopherus flavomarginatus (Mexican gopher tortoise)
Lineage: Eukaryota; Metazoa; Chordata; Testudines; Testudinidae
Exons: 4
Source: RefSeq, a predicted model, not a curated record
GCUUCCGACUGCUGGGGGCCCGGCAGCGCCGGGGCGGCUCCUCAGCCUUGCCGGGUGUCCAGAGCUCAGCUGCGGGGGGAGGGGCCCCGCUGAACCCCGGCGCUGGGCAAAUGCAGGGACUGGACAACGGUGACGUCAAACGCCCAGGGGGGCAGGUUCAGGGGCGCCCUGUUCCCAACGCGCCUCCAAAUCGGCGGGCUUGCAACGUGGUCCGGCACCGGCACCGACCCUGGCGGCCAAGGCCGGGACGGGUCCGCCCGCUGGGCUAGUCCCGGCCGAAGCUGCACUCGGCACUGUAGGGGGGCUGCUUUGCGGGGCUGUAGCUAACGCCCAGAGACGUAGUGCUGCUCCCGUCAAGCGUAGGGACUUGGUGGGGAUUUACCCUGGGCUUCAGCCGGGCUGACUUUGGGAGCUCGGGAGGUAACUAAACCUGGAGAGUGGAUUUUCGGGGAGUUCCUAAGAACCACAGAUUGGCUGGAUGACACUUGGCACUUCUCCAGCAUCUUCCAUCCCGGGAUCUCAAAGCACUUUCCCAACAACAGUCGUGAUUAAACCCAGCCACUCUUGUGGGGAUUCACUACAAGUGUUGUCUUUGAUGUGAGAUCUAAGGUGCAAUUUACCUGGGGUGACUGGUCCUUUUGGGGCUGGAAGUCACCUGAAUAUUGGUGUAAUUCAUGGUUUAAGGGACCAUCUAUCACAAAGGUACUUCCCCACAGAAAUACAGUCACAUCUAUGAUUGCAAGCCAUGAAGGAUGAAUGGGUCUGAUUGAUGAAAAGUGGAGCAACCAUCACAGGGACAGUCUCCUAGAUGGCCUGGGAAGCCCACUGGGAAAAACCAAUAUAAAAAAUACCAGGUAUUCAAGGUCUUUUUAAUCUAAAAAAAAGAAAAGCACAACAAGGACCGAUGGCUGGAAGCUGAAGCCAAACAAAUUUUAAUCAGAACUAAGACACAAAUUUUUAACAGUGCAGUCGAUUAAUCAUUGGAACAAAACUACCAUGGGAGGUGGUUAUGUGAAGACAUGAAGCAAUGGAGAAUCCAAGACUGGAUGCUUUUCUGGAAGAUAUGCUUUGGUCAGCAAAUGAGUUAUGGGGCUCAAACAGGGGUAAUUGGAUGGCAUGGAAUGAACUGUGAUAUGCAGGAGUUCAGACUAACGGUCCCUUCUGGAUUUAAAAAACUGUGAGAUUAAAUUAGAAUCCCCCCUAGCCCUGACCCCUGCCUUUUCUCUCUUCAUCGUCAUUUCCAGUCGUAUAAUUUUGUUUCCCUUUUUUUGUUUACAUAAAGUCCAAUGCUUCUGUGCCCUCAAUGAUUAUUUAAAAUCCAAAAAAUUAAAAAUUCUAAAUGGGAUAUUCCAGCAAACUGUUAAAAAUAAAACUGGUAUUUGUCCAUUAGUCACUUUUGACUACUGAAUAGGACUGUAGCUAGAAAACUGCAUAGAGGUUGCUAGAGGAACAUUAAGAGGAGGAAGGAGUUAAUUGAAUGAAAGGUCUGCUUCAGGUGAAACUCAGGCUAAAUAAGGGUUCUUUUAGGUUGGCUUUUUUAGUCAAUUUAGAGAAGAUUCCUGUGGAAUGCAGUAAGGAUGAAACCAAAACUUUCUAUAGAAAUUAUUACUAGAAAUCUACUGAAAUGUCUAUAAUGUUCUUGAACCAUUCUGCAGUAUUACUGAAUUAUAUUCCUGCCAUAGAUUUCUAUAGAAACAGUAUUCAUCAUUCUUUUCUACAAUGAUUAGAGUAGUUAAUGUUCUCUGUUGCUAUGUAGGAAAGCAAAGUCAAUGCAUCUGAAGAAGUGGGUUUUUUACCCACGAAAGCUUAUGCCCAAAUAAAUGUUAGUUUUUAAGGUGCCACCAGACUCCUUUUUGUUAAAGUUGAAGUAGUGAGUUUUACAUUUGGAACUAAAAAACCUCCAUUCGAGGUUACUGCAAAGGACAGUUCUACAAUUCAGUUGGAAAAAAAUACAACUGGGAUGACUAAAGACGCUGAGGCUG